AUUACCGCGCCUUUCUAAUUAUACGCAGGCCCGUCGAGAAGAGAGAGAGAGAGAGAGAGAGAGGGGGGAGUGAUCGGACGCGGCUCCGGAAGCCAUGAGCGGCGGCCGUUCGUAUCGCGAUCGCUUGCCACGCGUCAAGGUCGGAGAGGCUUGGCUUCUUCGGCUCGCCCACGAGGAAGAGCCUCGCUUCGGGCCCAGGAUUCCGUGGAAAUUGUCCCUCUGUUUAUUUGUUAGAAAGCCAAUGCAGAUGCAUGCGAAUUAUUUUAACUGGAGUAAGUCUGGCAGCUAAGCUCAGAAGCGAGAAAUCUGUUUGUUGGCUCUUACGUUGGUGCUCAAAGAAGUGGUACAACUCUUGAUCCCAGAAAUACUUGCUAUAUCACUGUCGGGCAGCUUCAGGAAUCUUGCUGUCUGCGAAUAUUACUCGAAGUCAUGUGGAAAAGAAGUAUUUAGUAAUUUCUCUGGUUGGUUUAUUUUAUGAAAAAUGUAGGAAUUCCAUUUUUGGUUGAGCACUUAAGUAAUUUUCUGGCCAGUUAACUUUAUGCAAAUUCAUAUGGCUCAAAGAUGUGGAAGCAUGUCCUGCUUGGCUAGUGGUGGGAUUAUGGAAAUCACAUGGCUAUUCAGUAUGCCAAAGCAAGGAGAUGAAACUGGCUUUGAAUGCCUUUGGAUAGGGAGGAAUCUUGUUCUGCGUGAUGAUGAUGUCUCACCUCAAGUCGGUCGAGUUACUACUGCUCUAGCAUUCUCUCUAAGAGCUGCUUCUGAGGUGAUGUUUUCUGAGGAUUAAGAAGCAACCGUUACCAUUUGUAAUACAAUAGCUGUUUAGAGGAUUGAAGAUACAUAUAAUUUGAUUCAUGGUGGUUGUAUCUUUUCUUUUUCUUUUUUGGUUGUUGGGGAUAGUUAGAAGCUUGGUUUUUGUGGAAUAAUCUUGUGUACUUCUUUCUUGAGACUAUUAAAUAUUAUGUUGAUUCUGGGUUUGUGAGGGCAUUAGUCCUGAUUUAGCCAUGC
Molecule: RNA transcript, 1002 nt
Organism: Eucalyptus grandis
Lineage: Eukaryota; Viridiplantae; Streptophyta; Magnoliopsida; Myrtales; Myrtaceae
Exons: 2
Source: RefSeq, a predicted model, not a curated record